Aegilops tauschii subsp. strangulata is the source of this 563-nucleotide long non-coding RNA. RefSeq lists it as uncharacterized. The record is from RefSeq and is a predicted model, not a curated record. Lineage: Eukaryota; Viridiplantae; Streptophyta; Magnoliopsida; Poales; Poaceae.
UCCACCCAACCACGCGUCUUGCUCCUCCUGUGCACCCCGCCUUCGCCUGCCGUGCCUCGUCGGAUCGGCCUCGCCGGAGACCAGCGCCGCUCCACCCCGUCUCCAACUCCGGAAACCAGCAGGAGCAUCGUCCUCUCGUCGCCGCUGCCUUCCCCUCGUCUCCCCGUGCUCCUCCACCUCGCCUCGUCGUCCGGCAACCGGCGCUGCCGCCGGCGACCACGAGAUAAGCACCACUGCCCUUCUCCUCCUCCUGUUGUUCCUCUGCUUUCCUCGUCUCACCUUCCUGUCUCUCUUUCUCUGCUCAAACAGGAGCGCCAUGGCUCUCGGUCCCCAUCAAGCUCCGCGCCCGGACCUCCUCGUCGAACCUCACCGGAGUUCCUCCAUGACGCCAGCAACAGCAGCAGCCGCUGCACCCUCUCGCCGGCGAACCCAGUAGAUGAGCCGCCGCCUUCCUCACGCCUCCCCACCGCGCCAGCAGCUCCAGCCGCUCAAGUCCCAACUUCGAGUUGCGCCCCUGCCUCGCCAUGACCACCGGCCUCGUUGUUUCCUCGCUGUGAGCAACU